Molecule: RNA transcript, 2947 nt
Organism: Camelus dromedarius (Arabian camel)
Lineage: Eukaryota; Metazoa; Chordata; Mammalia; Artiodactyla; Camelidae
Gene: GCNT1
Gene name: glucosaminyl (N-acetyl) transferase 1
Exons: 5
Source: RefSeq, a predicted model, not a curated record
CCAGGCUGGGCUGCGCGGUCCCGCAGCGCCCUCAGCGCAGUGCGGCGCAACGCAGCGCGGGGCGAGCAGGAUCCCCGAGGCCAGACGCUCGCUGCAGCCCUUUCUCUCGAUGCGGAGGAAAACCCAGAGACCCUUGCCCGCCACACACUCCUGUCUUUCCCGGUGGAUGAGGUCGCCUGUAGAUCCAGGCUGGGCUUUGCGGACUUCCCGGUUGGAGUGAAGGAGAGUUCCUGUUGCUCUACAUCCUCACCAGCGGUUGACGAUGUCACUGUUCUGGAGUUUGGUCAUUCUAAUAGGCUGCUGCCGCCUCAGUCCCUGCACCGAGUAAGAAAACCAUCCCUAACUGCGCCGCCCAUCCCUCUCCUGUGUCUUCCACCUGAAGGGGAACCAUGAAGAAAAAGGACUGAGAAAAAAACAGAGAAAAGGUAAUUUUUUUUUCCUCUUUUCCUGGGGUCAUCCAGAGAAAUUACCUUAUAUAACGCAAUAAAGAAAUCCAAGCUACGCUCAAACCCUCUUGUGUCCGUGAGACAUGGGAGACACAAGUAACAGAUACACUGAUCACGUUAAAUUUACGCUUUCUCCAAAAUGGUAGUAAAGUCAGUGAGCGAUCAUGAACGUGAGCAGAUAUCACUAACAGCAAGAUUAUGUGAAAGAAGAUCUCAAAGAACAGGACUUAAAUCUUGAGGUUAUAAGAAAAGACAUCUAUUUACUGGAGAAUACCUAAUGUUGUUUUAAAUAUAAGAUAAUGCCAUCUCCCCGUAUUCCAGAUAGGAGUUAUUUUCCAGUCUCCUCCUCUAGACAUGCAAUAUUUCUUACCAAAUCUUCGAACCGUCAGGACUUACUUGAUGAUGCUCUCUGGAAUAUGGAUGCAGUCCAUUGGGAUCAGCCCACUGAGUUCUGAUAAGCUACUGACAUAUUUAAUUUUGCUGCUGAAUUUUGAACUGAAGAAAAGAAGAAAAAAGAGAUUAGUCGUGCCAUCAUCCCCUCCCAAGGCUGCUGCCUCUGCCUGACAAUGCUGAUAGACUUGUCACCUUGCCCCAGAACUCUUACUAAGAAGGGCUGCAUUGUUUGAGUGGUUACUAUAUGCCAGAUUUUAAGUGGUUUAUAUAAUAUUAACUCAUUUAUUUCCCAUUAUAGCCCAGUGAGGUAGGUACUAUUAUUAUUCUCUUUUUAAAGAUAAGGAAACUCAAGACAUAGGAAAUUAAGUAUCUGCUCAAGGUCUCACCUUCGUUGAAAGAGAACUUGAUCAAGCAUCAAACUUUCUUAGUCUCUCAUGAAAAGGCCCCGUCAGCCUUCUGGGAGGAUGCUGAGCUGUCUGCCACCUGAACUGCCUUCUGUUCAACUGCCGUGCAUCCUGAUAGGACGUCUUUUCAAGGUCAUUUCUCUAUACACUGUCUUUCACAUUUCUCUUGCAGUUUUGACCCUGGGCCGUGAGUCUUGGGUGGACACACUACCAAUGACAUGCUCUCUUAGGUCACUUCCUUCCUCUGGAGGUUCUGAGCUACAUUUUGGUUUUGAUAAAAGGUGGAGUGGGUAGAAUAAGAGGGUAGAAGUCAUGCAAGGGGGAAACCUCCAGCUCUGGGGGUGCGUUCACUGGAAUGGACUGUUCUCCAAACAGGCCAUGUUCUUUCCUUCCUGGUGUAUUUGUACCUGCUGCUUCCUCUUCCUCUACCUGUUUUUAGCUAGCCCAUCCUAUUCGUUUUUCAAAACUCGUUUUGCAGGCUCAUUCUUUUGGAAAGACGCUCCUGAUGCAGAUUCUCAGUCCUCACGCUCCACCUGUUACCUUAAGCACCCCCGCAGCCUGAGUGACACCCCCUCGUGCUUCCUUUGUGCCUGGCUUAUGACUGUUCACUAGCCGGCCGAGGUCAGCUGCCAGGCUGUGAGCCCCUUGAGGACAGCGGUUGAGCUGUGUAGUUCUCAGCCUCCAGCAGCUAACCCAGUGCUUGACACAGACAAACAAUUCAUUUAGAAAAUGAAGUGGCCAUAUACCUCCAUCACAGGUGUCACCCUUUAGCAGUGAAAAGACGUAGAAUACGUUUUGGUGACUUUUUUUUUUUCCAAAUUGAAAAGUUGCUUUCCCUGAUUCACAGGGAGCUCUUUAAAGAGAAUCUUACAUGAUGAAACUGUAGAAUACAAUGUUUAAGUACUCGAAAUGCAUUUUCUUUAGAAUCAGGCGGGCACUGGGUUCAAGGCCUGAGUCUGUCAUUUAUUGGCUAUGUUACCUUAGACCUGCGGUUGGCCAGCUAAUUGACUGUUUUUAAUAAUCCUUGAGCUGAGAAUGGUUUUUACAUUUUUUAAAUGGUUGAAAAAUGAUCCCAAUGAGAAUAUUUUGUGACAUGUAAAAAGUAUCAGGAAAUUCAGCUUCGGUGUUCAUAAAUCAAGUUUUACUGGCGCACAGCCACACUUACUUAUUUCCAUAUUGUCUACAGCUGUUUUUGCCCUACCAUGGCGGAGCUAAGGAGUUGUGAUUGAGACCGUAUGGCCCACAAAACCUAAAAUAUUAUAUCUGAUCCUCUACAGAAUGGGUUUGCUGGCUCCUGCUUUGGACAAUUUAUUUGACCUCACCUCACUGUUUUUUCCCAUAACAGAAAGGGUAAAUAGAACUUCCUUCAGAGGAUUGUCAUUAGAGUUAAAUAAAAUAAUGCAUGUAAAUACUCCAUAAAUGUAAGCCAUUAUUGUAUGUGAUUUACCACAAUACUACCUGCUACAAUUUUAAUAUUGUUGUUGUAAUUAUUCUCCUCUUGCCACUCCCUUCAGUAAGAAGUGUUGACUUAUUUUAUGGUAAGAAUAUUGAAAAAUGAUUAUAUUUAUCAAGAAGAAACAUGUUUGUUUUAUAAUUAUAAGAGCUGAAUUAUUAAACAAACAUCAGUGAACCAGUAUCAAUUCUAAAGUUUACUUUUUUGGUCAUUGGAGUUUGUGUAAGCUUUUUAUUAUACAUUGAUUCCUA